GAUGAAGAACGUAGCGAAAUGCGAUAAGUAAUGUGAAUUGCAGAAUCCAGUGAAUCAUCGAAUCUUUGAACGCACAUUGCGCCCGCCAGCAUUCUGGCGGGCAUGCCUGUUCGAGCGUCAUUUCAACCCUCGACCUCCCCUUGGGGAGGUCGGCGUUGGGGACCGGCAGCACACCGCCGGCCCUGAAAUGGAGUGGCGGCCCGUCUGCGGCGACCUCUGCGUAGUAAUACAGCUCGCACCGGAACCCCGACGCGGCCACGCCGUAAAACACCCCACUUCUGAACGUUGACCUCGAAUCAGGUAGGACUACCCGCUGAACUUAAGCAUAUCAAUAAGCGGAGGA
RNAcentral lists this unclassified non-coding RNA (343 nucleotides) under soil metagenome. Its description in RNAcentral is "partial contains 5.8S ribosomal RNA, internal transcribed spacer 2, and large subunit ribosomal RNA". The stretch from base 1 to 120 matches the Rfam family "5.8S ribosomal RNA", at positions 35 to 154 of the family's 154-position model. The record is from RNAcentral.